UACAGAGGUGGCAAGCGUUGUUCGGAAUUACUGGGCGUAAAGGGCGCGUAGGCGGCCUUCUAAGUCAGACGUGAAAUCUCCCGGCUCAACUGGGAGGGUGCGCCGAAUACUGAGAGGCUAGAGUGUGGGAGAGGAGAGUGGAAUUCCUGGUGUAGCGGUGAAAUGCGUAGAUAUCAGGAGGAACACCGGUGGUGUAAACGGCUUUCUGGACCAUAACUGACGCUGAGGCACGAAAGCGUGGGUAGCAAACAGG
Molecule: ribosomal RNA, 253 nt
Filed under: uncultured bacterium
Lineage: Bacteria
Description: partial 16S ribosomal RNA
Rfam family: Bacterial small subunit ribosomal RNA
Source: RNAcentral